Molecule: long non-coding RNA, 282 nt
Filed under: Elaeis guineensis (African oil palm)
Lineage: Eukaryota; Viridiplantae; Streptophyta; Magnoliopsida; Arecales; Arecaceae
Description: long non-coding RNA (EGUI_LNC025983)
Source: RNAcentral
AGGAUGGUUCGGUCAACCCAUAUGCACCUAUGGCUAGGUUCUCAACCAAUUAUUUCUUCAAAUAACUUCUAGUAUUUAAUUUAGCUCCAGAUUUAAUUUCAGUAGGCAAUGGGCCUCCACUGAAAGUUUCGGUUAGGUCAAACCAUUAACAUGAACCUACUCAGUGAUUCUAUCUAAUGAGUGAUCAAAUCCGAGGAUGGCUCGAUCAACCCAACCAUUAUCAGAUAGUUUAUCAGAGUUAUCAUAUGAUGAAUGAUAAUUCCAUCAUUCAGAGAGAACAUC